AGCGAACGCUGGCGGCAGGCCUAACACAUGCAAGUCGAGCGCCCCGCAAGGGGAGCGGCAGACGGGAGAGUAACACGUGGGAACGUACCCUUUGGUUCGGAACAACCCAGGGAAACUUGGGCUAAUACCGAAUAAGCCCUUACGGGGAAAGAUUUAUCGCCGAAGGAUCGGCCCGCGUCUGAUUAGCUAGUUGGUGAGGUAACGGCUCACCAAGGCGACGAUCAGUAGCUGGUCUGAGAGGAUGAUCAGCCUCACUGGGACUGAGACACGGCCCAGACUCCUACGGGAGGCAGCAGUGGGGAAUCUUGGACAAUGGGCGCAAGCCUGAUCCAGCCAUGCCGCGUGAGUGAUGAAGGCCUUAGGGUUGUAAAGCUCUUUCAGCGGGGAAGAUAAUGACGGUACCCGCAGAAGAAGCCCCGGCUAACUUCGUGCCAGCCGCCGCAGUAAC
This 448-nucleotide ribosomal RNA is filed under the name uncultured bacterium. RNAcentral describes it as "bacterial SSU rRNA". It matches the Rfam family "Bacterial small subunit ribosomal RNA", at positions 29 to 524 of the family's 1533-position model. The record is from RNAcentral.